This 511-nucleotide ribosomal RNA is filed under the name uncultured bacterium. RNAcentral describes it as "partial 16S ribosomal RNA". It matches the Rfam family "Bacterial small subunit ribosomal RNA", at positions 28 to 507 of the family's 1533-position model. The record is from RNAcentral.
GACCAACGCUGGCGGCAUGCCUAACACAUGCAAGUCGAACGGACAGAACAGGGAAGCUUUUCGGAGUGGAACUGGAAAGUUAGUUGCGGAUUGGUGAGUAACGCGUGGACAACCUACCUUGUAAAGGGGAAUAACCUCGAGAAAUCGAAGCUAAUACCCCAUAAUAACCUUGCUUCGCAUGAAGUAAGGAGGAAAGGCGGCCUUAGCGCUGUCGCUACCAGAUGGGUCCGCGUCUGAUUAGCUAGUUGGUGAGGUAAAGGCUAACCAAGGCGACGAUCAGUAGCCGGCCUGAGAGGGUGAACGGCCACAUUGGGACUGAGACACGGCCCAAACUCCUACGGGAGGCAGCAGUGGGGAAUCUUCCGCAAUGGGCGAAAGCCUGACGGAGCAAUGCCGCGUGAGUGAAGAAGGCCUUCGGGUUGUAAAACUCUGUCCUUAUCGAAGAGAGAGUGUUGUAGUAACUGACAAUACUAGGACGGUAGAUGAGGAGGAAGCCCCGGCUAACUAUGUG